AGAAGAUUUCCUGACUAGACUAAGCGGCAUCCUAGAAAUGUAGCACGCUAGAAUUCAUUGAGUUCCUUACAGCGACCCAUUCCCAGGAACGCCAGCCUGACAAUAAAGUAAACUCCUUCUCAAAAAUAUUAGGAUCAGGUAGGCAGAAGACAAUGUCUACAACUCUUUCACCUCGUACAUGGUAUUAUAGUUAUUAAUAAAACGUAUAAAAAUAAAAUUAGUAAUUUAUUAAUGUCUCACAGUUUUUGAGACAUUUUGGCUGGACCAACUGUGUCGACUUUUAAUUGUUUUGGUUUUGAGUUAGAAGUGAAACUCUUUUCUGGCUUUCAAAACAGAAGCACUAUGGAAGUUGGCAGUAGCUGUGACUGGAUUUGGAGUAACCAUGGGUGUCAUCUUACUGGUGCUGGGGCUGCUCACAUUCAAAAGAAGAAGUGAAACAAGUUCUCAAAGCAGGACAAAGGCAACAUCACCAGGUAUUGUAUACAUUUAUCUGUCAGGCAGCAUUACAAACUAUCAAUCCAUGUAUUAUAUUUUUUAGUGAGUUUUUCUUUUGUUACAGGUGAUUUUUUAUCAAUGACUAAAAUGAACCAGGGAAGAAUGGUAAUCGAAAUGAAAAUGUUUCUGUCAAAUGAAACAUACACUAAAUUAAAACAAUCAAUUUAAAUACCCAGGAUAUAAAGUUGAUUUUUUCCCCUGUUGUGUUAAGUUACCUGCAGGUAAUGAUGGAGGCUCCAGUGUGAUCACUUCAGUACCUGACGACAACUAUCUGACUAGUAAGCUGUGUUUUUUCUAGCAUCUACCUGAAUGUAGUGUAGUACAAGAUGGAGGGCAAUUUGAUGGUGAAAUUGUUGUACAAGUAGCACAAGAACGUGAUGACUGUUUUAACAGUAAUAUUUUAAUUUGCUCAAACCUUUGUUCCAUAUCUAUAGCAUAUGUAGUUAUCACCGCUGACUAACUUUCAAUAAUAUAGUUGAUUUUUUCCAGUGUAUCACAAGGGAGCUUUGGCUUUGAUAACAUUUUACUACCUUGUAAUAAAGACAUUUACUUGACCACUAAAGAGCCUUUAAAAUGUUCACAUUUUUAAAAGCACUAUGACAUAUACAGUUACAAGAAAAAAUUUGUGAACC
Molecule: long non-coding RNA, 1127 nt
Filed under: Oreochromis niloticus (Nile tilapia)
Lineage: Eukaryota; Metazoa; Chordata; Actinopteri; Cichliformes; Cichlidae
Description: lncRNA (ENSONIG00000037985.1)
Source: RNAcentral